RNAcentral lists this ribosomal RNA (253 nucleotides) under uncultured bacterium. RNAcentral's name for it is "partial 16S ribosomal RNA". It matches the Rfam family "Bacterial small subunit ribosomal RNA", at positions 524 to 776 of the family's 1533-position model. The record is from RNAcentral.
UACGGAAGGGGCUAGCGUUGCUCGGAAUCACUGGGCGUAAAGGGUGCGUAGGCGGGUCUUUAAGUCAGGGGUGAAAUCCUGGAGCUCAACUCCAGAACUGCCUUUGAUACUGAGGAUCUUGAGUUCGGGAGAGGUGAGUGGAACUGCGAGUGUAGAGGUGAAAUUCGUAGAUAUUCGCAGGAACACCAGUGGCGAAGGCGGCUUACUGGUCCUAACUGACGCUGAGGUGGCGAAAGCGUGGGGAGCAAACAGG